Molecule: transfer RNA, 73 nt
Filed under: Treponema sp.
Lineage: Bacteria; Pseudomonadati; Spirochaetota; Spirochaetia; Treponematales; Treponemataceae
Also listed under: 2 other names
Description: tRNA-Ala
Rfam family: tRNA
About the family: Transfer RNA (tRNA) molecules are approximately 80 nucleotides in length.
Source: RNAcentral
GGGGAUAUAGCUCAGUUGGUAGAGCAUCUGGUUCGCAAUCAGAGGGUCACCGGUUCGAAUCCGGCUAUCUCCA